UGUUCCAUUCACUUACUUCACAAGGCAGGUCUGAAUUACUAAAGCAAGAGCCCUCAUCACCCUCUGUGAGCAGAGCGCAUAGCUUCCUUCCAUUCAGCUUGGAGCUCUGGGAUGCAGGACCAUGAAUGGAGAGUAAACCUGCUGCAGGACCAUGAAUGGAGAGAUUUGGGUGUAGUCUCCCCUCCCCCAGCCUGAAACCUGCUUGCUCAGGGGUGGAGCUUCCCACUCAAUCUUUUUGCCACGCCUACUGCUGGAACCUGCCGCUUUGCUGUUCCGAAGCCAUCACGUGAUCAC
Long non-coding RNA from Mus musculus (house mouse), 294 nucleotides. RefSeq annotates it as predicted gene, 32130. NCBI's taxonomy places the organism in Eukaryota, Metazoa, Chordata, Mammalia, Rodentia, Muridae. The transcript is spliced from 3 exons. The record is from RefSeq and is a predicted model, not a curated record.